RNAcentral lists this ribosomal RNA (521 nucleotides) under Psychrobacter sp. RNAcentral describes it as "bacterial SSU rRNA". It matches the Rfam family "Bacterial small subunit ribosomal RNA", at positions 867 to 1387 of the family's 1533-position model. Lineage: Bacteria; Pseudomonadati; Pseudomonadota; Gammaproteobacteria; Moraxellales; Moraxellaceae. The record is from RNAcentral.
GACCGCCUGGGGAGUACGGCCGCAAGGUUAAAACUCAAAUGAAUUGACGGGGGCCCGCACAAGCGGUGGAGCAUGUGGUUUAAUUCGAUGCAACGCGAAGAACCUUACCUGGUCUUGACAUACACAGAAUCUUGUAGAGAUACGAGAGUGCCUUCGGGAAUUGUGAUACAGGUGCUGCAUGGCUGUCGUCAGCUCGUGUCGUGAGAUGUUGGGUUAAGUCCCGCAACGAGCGCAACCCUUGUCCUUAGUUACCAGCGGGUUAAGCCGGGAACUCUAAGGAUACUGCCAGUGACAAACUGGAGGAAGGCGGGGACGACGUCAAGUCAUCAUGGCCCUUACGACCAGGGCUACACACGUGCUACAAUGGUAGGUACAGAGGGCAGCUACACAGCGAUGUGAUGCGAAUCUCAAAAAGCCUAUCGUAGUCCAGAUUGGAGUCUGCAACUCGACUCCAUGAAGUAGGAAUCGCUAGUAAUCGCGGAUCAGAAUGCCGCGGUGAAUACGUUCCCGGGCCUUGUACA